AAAGAGUUAGUUUAAUUAAAACAUUAGAUUGUCAGCCUAAAAAUAUUAUUUUUAAUACUCUUUA
Molecule: transfer RNA, 64 nt
Filed under: Saldula arsenjevi
Lineage: Eukaryota; Metazoa; Arthropoda; Insecta; Hemiptera; Saldidae
Description: tRNA-Asp
Rfam family: tRNA
About the family: Transfer RNA (tRNA) molecules are approximately 80 nucleotides in length.
Source: RNAcentral